Molecule: ribosomal RNA, 253 nt
Filed under: uncultured bacterium
Lineage: Bacteria
Description: partial 16S ribosomal RNA
Rfam family: Bacterial small subunit ribosomal RNA
Source: RNAcentral
UACGAAGGGGGCUAGCGUUGCUCGGAAUUACUGGGCGUAAAGGGCGCGUAGGCGGAUGUUUAAGUCGGGGGUGAAAGCCCGGGGCUCAACCUCGGAAUUGCCUUCGAUACUGGCACGCUAGAGUUCGGGAGAGGAUGGUGGAAUUCCCAGUGUAGAGGUGAAAUUCGUAGAUAUUGGGAAGAACACCGAUGGCGAAGGCAGCCAUCUGGACCGACACUGACGCUGAGGCGCGAAAGCGUGGGGAGCAAACAGG